CAGUCGCCGCGGUAAUACGUAGGUGGCAGGCGUUGUCCGGAAUUAUUGGGCGUAAAGGGCUCGCAGGCGGUUUCUUAAGUCUGUUGUGAAAGCCCCCGGCUCAACCGGGGAGGGUCAUUGGAAACUGGGAAACUUGAGUGCAGAAGAGGAGAGUGGAAUUCCACGUGUAGCGGUGAAAUGCGUAGAGAUGUGGAGGAACACCAGUGGCGAAGGCGACUCUCUGGUCUGUAACUGACGCUGAGGAGCGAAAGCGUGGGGAGCGAACAGGAUUAGAUACCCCCGUAGUCCCUGUCUCUUAUAC
Molecule: ribosomal RNA, 301 nt
Filed under: uncultured bacterium
Lineage: Bacteria
Description: partial 16S ribosomal RNA
Rfam family: Bacterial small subunit ribosomal RNA
Source: RNAcentral